RNAcentral lists this non-coding RNA (24 nucleotides) under Arabidopsis thaliana (thale cress). The record is from RNAcentral. Lineage: Eukaryota; Viridiplantae; Streptophyta; Magnoliopsida; Brassicales; Brassicaceae.
GGAUUCGAGGGUUCACCAAGGUAU